RNAcentral lists this ribosomal RNA (785 nucleotides) under uncultured Pelagibacterales bacterium. Its description in RNAcentral is "bacterial SSU rRNA". It matches the Rfam family "Bacterial small subunit ribosomal RNA", at positions 45 to 876 of the family's 1533-position model. The record is from RNAcentral. Lineage: Bacteria; Pseudomonadati; Pseudomonadota; Alphaproteobacteria; Candidatus Pelagibacterales.
CGCCUUAACACAUGCAAGUCGAACGAAGUAGCAAUACUUAGUGGCAGACGGGUGAGUAACAUGUGGGUAUCUACCCUUUGGCCUGGAAUAACACGAGGAAACUUGUGCUAAUACCGGAUAAGUCUUUACGGAGAAAGCUUUAUGCACCAUUGGAUGAGCCCGCACUUGAUUAGUUUGUUGGUAGGGUAAUGGCCUACCAAGACUAUGAUCAAUAGCUGAUUUGAGAGGAUGAUCAGCCACAUUGGGACUGAGACACGGCCCAAACUCCUACGGGAGGCAGCAGUGGGGAAUCUUGCACAAUGGAGGAAACUCUGAUGCAGCGAUGCCGCGUGAGUGAAGAAGGCCUUUGGGUUGUAAAGCUCUUUCGUCGGGGAAGAAAAUGACUGUACCCGAAUAAGAAGGUCCGGCUAACUUCGUGCCAGCAGCCGCGGUAAUACGAAGGGACCUAGCGUAGUUCGGAAUUACUGGGCUUAAAGAGUUCGUAGGUGGUUGAAAAAGUUGGUGGUGAAAUCCCAGAGCUUAACUCUGGAACUGCCAUCAAAACUUUUCAGCUAGAGUAUGAUAGAGGAAAGCAGAAUUUCUAGUGUAGAGGUGAAAUUCGUAGAUAUUAGAAAGAAUACCAAUUGCGAAGGCAGCUUUCUGGAUCAUUACUGACACUGAGGAACGAAAGCAUGGGUAGCGAAGAGGAUUAGAUACCCUCGUAGUCCAUGCCGUAAACGAUGUGUGUUAGACGUUGGAAAUUUAUUUUACAGUGUAGCAGGGAAACCGAUAAACACACCGCUGGG